RNAcentral lists this ribosomal RNA (316 nucleotides) under Tityus arellanoparrai. RNAcentral's name for it is "partial 16S ribosomal RNA". The record is from RNAcentral. Lineage: Eukaryota; Metazoa; Arthropoda; Arachnida; Scorpiones; Buthidae.
AUAAUUUAAGACUGGAAUGAAGAGUCGACCUAAAGAAUUUUAUUUUUUUUAUAAUUUACAAAUUUUACUUUUAAGUAAAAAGGCUUAAAUAAAUCUUAAAGACAAGAAGACCCUGUAAAACUUUACAUAUGUAAAUAUUAAAAUUUAAAAAUAUGUUUAACUGGGGCGGUAAAAAAUUAAAACAUUUUUAAAAAAUAAUAAAUAUUAUUAUACCCAGAAUUUCUGAAAAUAAAUCAAGCUACUUCAGGGAUAACAGCGUUAUCCAUUUUAAAAGAUCUUAUUGACAAAUGUGUUUGCGACCUCGAUGUUGGAUUGU